UUUUUCAUGUAAAAAGUUGUCAAGUAUUGGAACAGGCUGCCCUGGGAAGUGGUUGAGUCAUCACCCCUAGAGGUAUUUAAAAGUGUAGGUG
Long non-coding RNA from Corvus hawaiiensis (hawaiian crow), 91 nucleotides. RefSeq lists it as uncharacterized. NCBI's taxonomy places the organism in Eukaryota, Metazoa, Chordata, Aves, Passeriformes, Corvidae. The record is from RefSeq and is a predicted model, not a curated record. The transcript is spliced from 3 exons.